UACGUAGGGGGCAAGCGUUGUCCGGAAUUAUUGGGCGUAAAGCGCGCGCAGGCGGUCUUUUAAGUCUGGGGUUUAAGUUCGGGGCUCAACCCCGUAUCGCCCUGGAAACUGGGAGACUGGAGUGCAGGAGAGGAAAGUGGAAUUCCACGUGUAGCGGUGAAAUGCGUAGAGAUGUGGAGGAACACCAGUGGCGAAGGCGACUUUCUGGCCUGUAACUGACGCUGAGGCGCGAAAGCGUGGGGAGCAAACAGGAUUAGAUACCCGAGUAGUCC
Molecule: ribosomal RNA, 272 nt
Filed under: uncultured bacterium
Lineage: Bacteria
Description: partial 16S ribosomal RNA
Rfam family: Bacterial small subunit ribosomal RNA
Source: RNAcentral